This 279-nucleotide ribosomal RNA is filed under the name uncultured bacterium. Its description in RNAcentral is "partial 16S ribosomal RNA". It matches the Rfam family "Bacterial small subunit ribosomal RNA", at positions 506 to 784 of the family's 1533-position model. The record is from RNAcentral.
UGCCAGCAGCCGCGGUAAUACGCAGGGGGCUAGCGUUGUUCGGAAUUACUGGGCGUAAAGCGCACGUAGGCGGCUUGGUCAGUUAGAUGUGAAAGCCCAGGGCUCAACCUUGGAACUGCAUUUAAUACUGCCAAACUUGAGAUCGGAAGAGGAAAGCGGAAUUUCUAGUGUAGAGGUGAAAUUCGUAGAUAUUAGAAGGAACAUCAGAGGCGAAGGCGGCUUUCUGGUCCGAUACUGACGCUGAGGGACGAAAGCGUGGGUAGCAAACAGGAUUAGAUA